This 409-nucleotide ribosomal RNA is filed under the name uncultured bacterium. RNAcentral's name for it is "bacterial SSU rRNA". It matches the Rfam family "Bacterial small subunit ribosomal RNA", at positions 355 to 776 of the family's 1533-position model. The record is from RNAcentral.
UCGAGAAUCUUCCACAAUGGACGAAAGUCUGAUGGAGCGACACCGCGUGAUUGAUGAAGUCCUUCGGGACGUAAAGAUCUUUUAUGAGGGAAGAAGUUUAUUGACGGUACCUCAUGAAUAAGGGGCUCCUAAUCUCGUGCCAGCAGGAGCGGUAAUACGAGAGCCCCAAGCGUUAUCCGGAAUUAUUGGGCGUAAAGGGUGCGUAGGCGGUUGUGUUAGUCAUAUGUUAAAGACCCGAGCUUAACUUGGGGAAGGCAUGCGAAACGGCACGACUUAGAAUGAAGGAGAGGUGUGCGGAACUCAUGGUGUAGGGGUGAAAUCCGUUGAUAUCAUGGGGAACACCAAAAGCGAAAGCAGCACACUGGCCUUUUAUUGACGCUGAGGCACGAAAGCGUGGGUAGCGAAUGGG